RNAcentral lists this ribosomal RNA (982 nucleotides) under Escherichia coli. Its description in RNAcentral is "partial 23S ribosomal RNA". It matches the Rfam family "Bacterial large subunit ribosomal RNA", at positions 168 to 1191 of the family's 2925-position model. The record is from RNAcentral. Lineage: Bacteria; Pseudomonadati; Pseudomonadota; Gammaproteobacteria; Enterobacterales; Enterobacteriaceae.
AGGUUAAUGAGGCGAACCGGGGGAACUGAAACAUCUAAGUACCCCGAGGAAAAGAAAUCAACCGAGAUUCCCCCAGUAGCGGCGAGCGAACGGGGAGGAGCCCAGAGCCUGAAUCAGUGUGUGUGUUAGUGGAAGCGUCUGGAAAGGCGCGCGAUACAGGGUGACAGCCCCGUACACAAAAAUGCACAUACUGUGAGCUCGAUGAGUAGGGCGGGACACGUGGUAUCCUGUCUGAAUAUGGGGGGACCAUCCUCCAAGGCUAAAUACUCCUGACUGACCGAUAGUGAACCAGUACCGUGAGGGAAAGGCGAAAAGAACCCCGGCGAGGGGAGUGAAAAAGAACCUGAAACCGUGUACGUACAAGCAGUGGGAGCCUCUUAAUGGGGUGACUGCGUACCUUUUGUAUAAUGGGUCAGCGACUUAUAUUCUGUAGCAAGGUUAACCGAAUAGGGGAGCCGAAGGGAAACCGAGUCUUAACUGGGCGUUAAGUUGCAGGGUAUAGACCCGAAACCCGGUGAUCUAGCCAUGGGCAGGUUGAAGGUUGGGUAACACUAACUGGAGGACCGAACCGACUAAUGUUGAAAAAUUAGCGGAUGACUUGUGGCUGGGGGUGAAAGGCCAAUCAAACCGGGAGAUAGCUGGUUCUCCCCGAAAGCUAUUUAGGUAGCGCCUCGUGAAUUCAUCUCCGGGGGUAGAGCACUGUUUCGGCAAGGGGGUCAUCCCGACUUACCAACCCGAUGCAAACUGCGAAUACCGGAGAAUGUUAUCACGGGAGACACACGGCGGGUGCUAACGUCCGUCGUGAAGAGGGAAACAACCCAGACCGCCAGCUAAGGUCCCAAAGUCAUGGUUAAGUGGGAAACGAUGUGGGAAGGCCCAGACAGCCAGGAUGUUGGCUUAGAAGCAGCCAUCAUUUAAAGAAAGCGUAAUAGCUCACUGGUCGAGUCGGCCUGCGCGGAAGAUGUAACGGGGCUAAACCAUG